GAUGAACGCUGGCGGCGUGCCUAAUACAUGCAAGUCGAGCGAACAGAUGAGGAGCUUGCUCCUCUGACGUUAGCGGCGAACGGGUGAGUAACACGUGGAUAACCUACCUAUAAGACUGGGAUAACUUCGGGAAACCGGAGCUAAUACCGGAUAAUAUAUUGAACCGCAUGGUUCAAUAGUGAAAGACGGUUUUGCUGUCACUUAUAGAUGGAUCCGCGCCGCAUUAGCUAGUUGGUAAGGUAACGGCUUACCAAGGCAACGAUGCGUAGCCGACCUGAGAGGGUGAUCGGCCACACUGGAACUGAGACACGGUCCAGACUCCUACGGGAGGCAGCAGUAGGGAAUCUUCCGCAAAGGGCGAAAGCCUGACGGAGCAACGCCGCGUGAGUGAUGAAGGUCUUCGGAUCGUAAAACUCUGUUAUUAGGGAAGAACAAAUGUGUAAGUAACUAUGCACGUCUUGACGGUACCUAAUCAGAAAGCCACGGCUAACUACGUG
RNAcentral lists this ribosomal RNA (497 nucleotides) under uncultured bacterium. Its description in RNAcentral is "partial 16S ribosomal RNA". It matches the Rfam family "Bacterial small subunit ribosomal RNA", at positions 28 to 507 of the family's 1533-position model. The record is from RNAcentral.